RNAcentral lists this unclassified non-coding RNA (353 nucleotides) under Hevea brasiliensis (rubber tree). Lineage: Eukaryota; Viridiplantae; Streptophyta; Magnoliopsida; Malpighiales; Euphorbiaceae. The record is from RNAcentral.
CAGGCAGCCACAAAAAGAGAGGAGGCCCUGAAGCGAAAGAAUCAUGUCUUUAAAAGGACAGGGGGUGUAUCCUCUAGUGGAUAUUCUAAUUCUACUAAGAGAAGAAGAAGCAUGGAAGAUGUUGGUCCAAGCAACUAUGGAAGCAAUGCUGCGAAUCAAAUGGGUGCAGGAGGAGCUAGCACAUCUGAUUUAUCUUAUUCUAAGAAGGGUAAUUUUGAAACAGGUAGGGUCAGUGGAAUUAGUGAGCCCUAUGGCACAAGGGAUGUAUCCCAGUUUGGAAUUCAAGCCCUACUGAUGGAGAAAGCUAGGACAGAAAUUCGUCAAAAACUAAAUGAAUGGAACUCAGCUACAGU